Molecule: ribosomal RNA, 494 nt
Filed under: uncultured bacterium
Lineage: Bacteria
Description: partial 16S ribosomal RNA
Rfam family: Bacterial small subunit ribosomal RNA
Source: RNAcentral
GACGAACGCUGGCGGCGCGCUUAACACAUGCAAGUCGAACGGAAAGGCCUGCUUUCCCUUGUGGAUUGCGGGUACUCGAGUGGCGAACGGGUGAGUAACACGUGAGUGAUCUGCCCCCAACUUGGGUAUAAGCCUGGGAAACUGGGUCUAAUUCCCGAUAGGACUGCAGGGUGGUGCCUGUGGUGGAAAACGAUUUUCUAGUGGUUGGGGAUGAGCUCGCGGCCUAUCAGCUUGUUGGUGGGGUAAUGGCCUACCAAGGCGGCGACGGGUAGCCGGCCUGAGAGGGUGGACGGCCACAGUGAGACUGGGACACGGCCCAGACUCCUACGGGAGGCAGGAGUGGGGAAUAUAGCACAAUGGGCGGAAGCCUGAUGCAGCGACGCCGCGUGGGGGAUGACGGCAUUCGGGUUGUAAACUCCUUUCGACCGCGAGGAAGCCACCUGGUUGGAAGGGUGGUGACGGUAGUGGUAGAAGAAGCACCGGCUAACUACGUG